AACUGGGUGACUAGAGUGUGUCAGAGGGAGGUAGAAUUCCACGUGUAGCAGUGAAAUGCGUAGAGAUGUGGAGGAAUACCGAUGGCGAAGGCAGCCUCCUGGGAUAACACUGACGUUCAUGCCCGAAAGCGUGGGUAGCAAACAGGAUUAGAUACCCUGGUAGUCCACGCCCUAAACGAUGUCGAUUAGCUGUUGGGCAGCAUGACUGCUUAGUAGCGAAGCUAACGCGUGAAAUCGACCGCCUGGGGAGUACGGUCGCAAGAUUAAAACUCAAAGGAAUUGACGGGGACCCGCACAAGCGGUGGAUGAUGUGGAUUAAUUCGAUGCAACGCGAAGAACCUUACCUGGUCUUGACAUGUACGGAACCCUCCAGAGACGGAGGGGUGCCUUCGGGAGCCGUAACACAGGUGCUGCAUGGCUGUCGUCAGCUCGUGUCGUGAGAUGUUGGGUUAAGUCCCGCAACGAGCGCAACCCUUGUCAUUAGUUGCCAUCAUUAAGUUGGGCACUCUAAUGAGACUGCCGGUGACAAGCCGGAGGAAGGUGGGGAUGACGUCAAGUCCUCAUGGCCCUUAUGACCAGGGCUUCACACGUCAUACAAUGGUCGGUACAGAGGGUAGCCAAGCCGCGAGGUGGAGCCAAUCUCACAAAACCGAUCGUAGUCCGGAUUGCACUCUGCAACUCGAGUGCAUGAAGUCGGAAUCGCUAGUAAUCGCAGGUCAGCAUACUGCGGUGAAUACGUUCCCGGGUCUUGUACACACCGCCCGUCACACCAAGGGAGUGGGGGAUACCAGAAGUAGGUAGGGUA
This 805-nucleotide ribosomal RNA is filed under the name uncultured bacterium. Its description in RNAcentral is "bacterial SSU rRNA". It matches the Rfam family "Bacterial small subunit ribosomal RNA", at positions 631 to 1437 of the family's 1533-position model. The record is from RNAcentral.